Rhineura floridana is the source of this 1137-nucleotide long non-coding RNA. RefSeq lists it as uncharacterized. NCBI's taxonomy places the organism in Eukaryota, Metazoa, Chordata, Lepidosauria, Squamata, Rhineuridae. The transcript has 3 exons. The record is from RefSeq and is a predicted model, not a curated record.
GAGGUGGAGAGCGAAACGGGAUUGAGAAAACAAUUGUUUAAAAAUGGAGUGAGGGAGAAAAGAGCUGGAGAGCAAAGAGGCAUUAGUAAAAUGGACAUGAAGAACUGGCUGCAGAGAGAUGACUGACCUGUGACCCUCCAGAUGUCUGCUGAACUAAAACUCCCAUCAAAGCCAGCCACCAUGGCCAAUGCUCGGGGAUAACGGAAGUUGCCAUCUAACAAGGCCACAAAGGCAAAGGUGCAUUUUUCUAUGGGAAACUUCAAUCUUGAAGAUAGCCGGAAUCAGUAAAGAACGUGUCAUCUAGCAAUUGCAUUACAUCCUUUCUGGUGGUAAACAAUACUAUAAAUGAAACCUUAACACAUACAAAUCCCAGUGUUGGCAUUUUUUAAGUAGGUCUGUACAGAAUGUUUUGCUCAGAACUGAAUUAUAGUCUGGGAAAGGGAAAUAGGGUUUCUUUUCUAAAUUCAAUCAUGUCUUCAGAUACAACAAUCACUUGUUCAUAAAAGGUGCAAAUUUAGUGUGAAAUUUUCCUGUAAUUUGUAUAAGAUUGUUUGUAUAAAUAUAUGUCUCUGUUUCAUCCAUACCCAACUGAUCAUUGUGCUUUGCAAGAGAGGACUUCCUGCAGAUACCAUCUUAUCAGGAGAUCUGUCCUGCACAAUGUUGGAAUUGGGUAGCACCUACUCUUUGGAAUUACCUCUCAUUACAUACAUGACAGGUGCCAUUUCUAUUUCUGGUGCCUGUUGAAGACUUUCCUCUUUCAACAAGUCUUUUAAGUGGAGAUGUUUAUCCCACUCAAUCUCUGUAUUGGUUUUGAAAUCAUGUUAUACAUAUGCAAUUGUUUUGACUGUUUUUUAAUAUAUGCAAUUGUUAGAUCCGUGUUUUGACUGUUUCAUGAAAUCAAUUAGAGAUGCUUCAUGGUAAGCAGCGGUAACGCAGCCGAAGCUCUGCUCACGGCCGGAGUUUGAUUCCAACAGAAAGAGGAAGUCGAAUCUCCAGUAAAAAGGGUCGAGGUCCACUCAGCCUUCCAUCCAUCCGUGGUCGGUAAAAUGAGUAACUGGCAUUUUCUGGGGGGUAAAGAAAGGCUGGGGAUGGAACUGGCAAUCCCACCCCAUAUAUAUGGCCUGCCUAGUAAACUGU